AGUAAUUGCACAGCUGACAGAACCUCUCUUGUUACCUCUUAGGAAUGACCAUAAUUUAUAGCCUGCAAUGCCAAUGGGGGUCUCCCAGUGAACAUACAGCUACUCUGGGUGCAUUUCAGCGAGUCAUCUCGGGGCUAAAGACCUUCUCGUAUUUACCUUCUCGGGAAAACACAGAGUUCCUUGUUUGAGGAGAAUGAACAUCACUGAUAAGGAGUUCUGUAUUUACUGAACUGUGUGCUCCUUUUUCCUUCCAGGUAUCUACUGGUUUCCUGCCUUGACAGUUUGGUGCCAUUUCCUGAGACCUCCAAUUCUUCUCCCAGGUGCUGGUUCCAGCCUUGAGGUGACCAUGAGCAAAGCUGUCACUAUGGAGGCUCCCUCAUUCUAAAAAGAAGAAUUGUUUAUUUUUUCUGAAAAAACUCUCUAGGCCAUUCAUUUUAAGGCAAGGUAGGCUCUGGGCUCAGGAUCCUCUGGGCUAUAGACUUUAGAAUCUAGAAGCCCUGUAAUGGGGUAGGCAGGAAGAUGUAUCUCUGAACUUUGUGAACCUUGGUGAGAAGGUGAGGAGCUGAAGGCUCAUGGGUGACUAAAUGCUGCCAAAUCUGGAGGAAUCUGAGGGUCUCCAGGGAUUGUCAGUAUACUUAAGAGGCUUCCAUGUCCUCUGCUUUCUGAUAGAGAUAAACAUAUACAGAAGAAGCACUGAAGAAAGUUCAUUACGUUCAUCUUCAGGACCAGACAAUGGAAAGAAAGAUCUGGGGGCCAGCUCUGACCAGGGGGACAAAAGUCACCCAAGGUCACCCAAAGAGAGACACCUAGUCAUGGCAAAAUUUCUCUGAAGCAUUCAUCUUCUGUUCCUGCAUGGGUGUUAAAAACUCAAGUCCUGAUUUCUGUAAACUGGCAAACUCCCCACCCACUUGGUACCCAGGGCAGUGGCCUUUGGCUGGUGCUCUUACUGCUCUGGUGUUCAUUAAGUUCCUUCUACAUUUUGGGCCCCUGGAGAUUUCCCUUAAUUUUUUGGUGAGCUCACCUAUGCAUUUACAGGAAUGUUCGUUACGUAUAUCUAGUACUUCUAGCUGUUCUGUUGUGGGCAGUUUCUACGUAAUCACAUCCUCCAUAUUGCCAGAAAUGAAGUCUUUGGAAUCUAAUGUAAAGGGGAUGGAAAAAGAUCAACAAUGGACACCUUUUCUUGCUCUUAGCAGGGAGGGUCAGGCAUUGGUGAAGUCCUGAAUCAGGGUCUUCGAGGAAGCAGUACUUUCUCUCAGUCUUCUCCUCAGCAUGGAUAGAAGCAAAUCAUAUGAAGACCCUGCUUUGACAGUUCAGUUGCAGGUCCUUCUAGUUGUGGCAUGUGGGACGCCGCCUCAACGUGGCCUGACCAGUGGUGCCAUGUCCGCGCCCAGGAUCUGAACCAGCGAACCCUGGGCCACUGCAGCAGAGCAUGCGAACUUAACCACUUGGCCUCGGGGCCGGCCCCAUCCAAGUCGUUUUUAGGGCAUAUGUGAGCUUGUGACCAGAGGCAAAUGGCCAGAGCCACUGAUCCAACCGUGGAUGCCAGAAUGAUGUCCCAAGGCUCAAAUGGGGCCAUCGACACCUCAGGGAUGAGAUCCAACAACUUGCUCCGUGGUACAGACCAGUGAGGACCAGAGGAUGUCACUCAGGCAGGGUUAUGGCCCUUCAAUGCUUGUGAGUCUCACCUCUUCUGACUUUUGCUACUGGACUUGAUGGCGGCUCAGAAGAAUGCUGUGGAAGAAUUCUCAUAGGAAACCUGAAAAGCCUCCUGAGCUCUGAAGAGAUGCAUGGAGAAUUCCAUUUUACCGAGUCAAGAGGAUCAAUUAAAAUGCCACGUCUGCUAGGUUUAAGGUGAAAUAGAGCCCCUGGAGAUUCAGAAGGACCACUUCGAGAGUUUCUGCCUCAGGGAAACCUCCCAGAAUUGUAAACUGGUUGUUCAGGUGAUGAAAUUUGUCCAGAGUCUGUGCCACCCAGAUGCAAGAAAAUAAAUCCACAACUUUGGCCAAAUUGAUAAUGAGUAAUGAUUAACAAAAUGUUCUUUUUCCUGGCUGGACUCCCGGGAGAGAGACUUUGUUUCUCCCAGGUGGCUUAAAGAGGAGCUUGCCUUUGUGUGUUCUCCACAUUCCAGGAAAGAUGAAGGUAGAGCUAACGUCUCUCCUGCAGGCGAAGUUCCCUGUCCUAGGUGGUCUUUAUGGAUCAGGCUGCCUCCUAAUUACAUACUGAUCAUUUAAAAAGUGAAACUCCAGGGAGCGACGGGCCAGUGAGCAAUUCCUCUGACUCCUCAGAGCCAUCAGACUCACGUGAAGGAGCAACCUUGGUCCAAGUGAACAAGAAAAGAGGAAGUUCCCAAACCACUUGCAAAGGGUUGAGGCCGAAGAACAGAUGUCUCUGGGCUGCCCAGACGUCGGCCGCAUGGCCCAGCAGUGCUGCCGCUGCCGAAACCCCAAGUCUGCAAGUCAGGGUGGUCUGGAAGUGAAGGAUUGUUUUCCUGAGAGUGGUUUCAAGAAUGCAACUCCUCACCUAAUAAAAAGAAUGUGCAAUGAUUAACUGAGUCUAAUAUUAGCAUCUGCAAAAUAAAGAGCAAUUGGGCCUGCUAUUAAAGAACAAACCUUGCAUGCACCCGCUGCCAGGUAAAAUCUGUUCUUUCUCAGUCAUAAAUCUUUCUUGGACGCCAGAGAAGAAUUUCACUUCCGUCAGAAACACUGGGUGAACCGAAGAAAAAGAACAUGCUGUUUUGGAGAUGAAAGCGACUUGAGUUUAAAGGUCUUGGUGCCUUUUCUGUCUGUUUUGCUUGCUUUCUCUGUGGUGUCCUUGACUUGGCCAUGCCUUGCAUUGUUUGUUGGAUGAUGAGGCAGCAGUGGGAAAAGGUCAGGAUGGGUCAUUUGCUUCAGGCUGUAGCUUCAGGCAGAGAACUAGCAUCUGACAUCGAAUCUCACUGUUCUCCAGGGUGGACCCUUGGUGAAACAUCUUUGAACACCGAACCCUUGAUAAUUGUGAAGAAUACAUUAAGAGACUUUAGGAUUUUCCUAAACUUGAGAACUCCAUCCACUAAUUGAGAUGCAGAAGUUGAAUUGAUUUGUUCAUCAAAUAAGGUUACCACUCUUGCUGAACCAGAGACUCAAAUUGGUAGUUGCCACUUUACUUGUAUUACCUAAUCUGACUUCAUGAAACGCUUUGAUGUAAGGCAGUGGUUUUCAAAGUAUGGGCCUCACAAUACCAGCAUCACCCGAGAACUUGCUAGAAAUGUACAUCCUUGGGUCCCAUUCCAGACUUACUGGGCCAGCAAUCUCCCUCUUCAGUAAGUCCUCCAAGUGUUUCUGAUGGACGCUAAAGUUUGGGAACCACUAAUGUAGGAAACAUUAUCACCAUAAAACAUAUUAUAUGCUGUGAUGUCUUGGAACUUUGAAGUCUCUCUUAUAGCUAAAACUUUAAAUUCUAGCUUUCCAAGGAUCUUCAGUACCAUGCGUGCAGUAGGCAGUCAAUAAAUGUUCCCUAUAGAUGCUGUGUCUCUGAGAUAGUAAUCAUCUUUUAUUUUCCUCUUUUCCUCCCUUCCCUCCUUGCUCCCUCCCUUCCUACUUUCUUCCCUUUCUGCCUUCUUUCCUUCUCCUUCUUUUCUUUUUUGUCUGCCCUGUAUCACUUUGGGGAGCAUCUCUUCCCCUUUACAUAUAUUUUAGAUGGUGCUGAUAAUCAAGUGGGUCUGAUCUCACCUACCACUCAGUGUCCACUUCACCCAGGCUGGCCAAUCAAAGUGCUCCACUCUCUGGACACAGUAAUUGGUCCAGAGGUCCUAGCAGGGCCACUGAGAGCCUUUGGGUUGGGGAGAUCAAUAUGAACUUUAUGAAGGAAAGACUGUCUAUUCCCGACUUUGUGAGCACCAAGAAACCAGGUGAACUUGGAACUUCUUGGGGGCUCAUCUUCCUCCACAUGCAGAUGGUCUGCCUGGGAAUGAAGCCAUCUCAGAGGAAGGCAAAGCCAAGUUCUGGACGGAGAGAGGGCAGGGAGUUGAUGUCACCUUUUGAACCCAGAGCUUCACCAUGCCUUGAAGUCAGAAUCCGCUCUCUCCUUGGACGUCAUAUUCAAUUCAACGUUCCCUGGGAAUACCUUAAUCUGGGAUCCUGGGGACAUUCCUAUUAAUGAUUUUGUACUUAUUGAAAAAGUAGGAGAUACACAUACAAAUUGGUACCUAGUAGACUGUGUCAUUUAGAAAGUUAAAGUCCCUUGUGAUGAUAACCACUACUUCCCUGAAAAUCACUGUAUGUAGUUUUGUGCAUAUUCCUUUAGAUUUUUCUGUCAGUAUACUAAUAAAUUGCGAUGUUAACUGAGAAUUUUCUUGAUGCCGCAGUUUUUCUAGAAGCCAAUAAAAUCAAGGAUAAAGCAAUAGGUUCUAACACCUACAUUCUAGAGUGAGCUUGUUGGACUGUUCAUGCAGGAUUUGUAAAGCGAGUGAUCCAGGCCUGCCAUUAUUAGCUCAUAUAAGAGGUUAUAUUAAAAAAAGCCUAUGAAUUCAUGAGGGCAUUGACAAGGCCAAUAGGAGCACAUCUGUAGAGAACAUUCUCAGCAUGGCGAGGGCCACCCCCAUCCUGACAUAGGGGCAGAGAAAACUUCCCUUUCACCCUAAGCCAAGUAGGGGAGGUGACUUCAAGAAAAUCACUCAGGGGAUGUCUUAUGCAUCCACUGGAAUUUGGGUAUGUGGUACCUGGUACCUCAUUCAUCCUUUAUUGCUACCCACAGGGCAGCAGAGGGAAGAGAUGAGACUGAACUCAUAAUUUGAUUUAAUCUGACUUGAUUUCCUCUCUGACUGUCUGCCAACUGUUUCCAAUUUGGAACGGUUACAAAAUGUGAAAUUAUUCUGGCAGAAUGCAUCUAUCUGGUUUGGUUGACCCUUGGAAAACCUUCCUCCAUCAUAUCCAAUCAUGGAUUUCUCCUCCAAACCCAUGACCUUUCUUUUACACUCUCCUGAGUCAUUCUUCCCAACCUGGGUCCCCGCCACUCAACAGACUCAGGCACCACACAGUGAGGUGGUUAUUAUUGUGUGAAGUUAUUUCGUAGGGCCAGUUACACUGGUCAUACACACAAUGACUUUAGAUAUGUGUGCACAGACAGUGGCAUUCUUUACAAUAAUUUCCAGGUCUAUGUCCCAAUUAACACCAGAAAUUUCUGGAACUAUAAUUCUUUUUCUGGACUCUCUAUAUACCUUUCCAUCCCCAGUUUCUUCUCCAUGUACCCAAAUAAACUCCACUGCAUAAAGUUCUUGAAUUCUGCUUAUGGGAUCUCCCCUCACUGAAUCCCCUCUUUUCUGUGCAUCUAGCUAUUAGGUUCUACUCCCUUAUAGACGCUGUAAGAAUAUUGUUUAUAAUAACCAUUUAUUAAUUUUAAAUAAGUGCACUUUUGCCACAUUAUCCCAUCUCUUACUCAUAAAAUCCUUCUGAGGUAACUCUGUCUCCAUUUUGAAGAUGGAAAAAGAGAGGCUCGGAGGGAUUGAAUGAUUUGCCCAGUGUCACACAGCAAGUAAGUAGUGGAGGUAGGACAAGGACUCAGAUUUUCCUUCCUUGUAAGAUCUAUCUUCUUUUCCUUACGACCCCAUCUCCUCACUGCCUACUCUCUGAAGCCACAGGAUUACAUUCAGGUCCACCAGUUUCAGCUAUUUCUCUCUGCUCUAUAUCUCUAUCCUUUCUCUUCAAACUCUCUAGAAAUACUUCAAACUCUUUCAGAAGUUUCUAUUAGUAGAGUUAUAUUUCAAGCACUCUGAUCCUGGUCAGACUUCGGGCUGCCAGUCUACAAAAGAAUUUUCGGGAGCAAAUUGCUUCUGCUGAUCAGUCCAACUUGAAUAUUUGAGACUUUUGUUCUAUUAACUUUUCUUCAGAGGUGUUUUCUUUUUUAAAAGAAAAAUAUUUCCCUCCGAACAGAAAAGAGUUGAAAUUCCCAUUUGUGGGAUGGGGGAGGUUUCUAAAAAAAAUCAAGACGUUUCUAAAAACAACAACUUGAGCAAAUAUCUGAAAAAUGCUAGUAAAUUAAAAUAUUCACUCAAAAAUCAUUGUUUCAUCAUCAUUCUGUAUGUAUAUAACAUAUUUACUUUUUCUCUUCCCAUAUCACUCUUGGCUACCAGCAGUUUUUAUGAAAUCUUUGUUCUAUAUAAUUGUUUUUUUGUCAACUUUUCAAUUAACAAAGAGAAAAAAAGGAUGAUCUUUAAUAAUAUUACUUGCUUUUGACUUUUGAUAUAACAUUCUAAAAUUGUUGACACUGAAUAAUAAUGGAAAUAAAGAGUAAAAAGGGCUUAUUACUUGUGUGUAACUGCCUGAACGGACGCUAAGUGAUUUAUACAAUUGAUUUCAAAAUUUAAAUCUUUUUUAAAAAUACACUUUCAAGUAUGUUGGUUUUCAUCUUAUCUGUCUAAAUAUUAGGCUUCCGGGUUUAUACGUCCACUGAAAGUGGCUCGGAUUAACAGCAUUUAUUCUUGGUUCUCGGGAAAAAAUGACAUAACCUAAUUUCGUAUGUCUAAAAACACGAGUUGCAAAACAGCAUUUACGGUAAAUGUUUACAAACACAGCCUCACUUGACCUUCAAAACAACCCAGUGAAAUAUUAUCAUUAUUUACAAGGUGAGAAGUCUGAAGGUCAGAAGGCCCUCAUUCUGUAAACAUUGAUUAAGGUUUACAGGGCCGAGGAGAAGAAAUCUUCAGGGCGGCCAUUUGGCCCAAUCUGCAGGCUUAAAAGGGAUGUUCACUACAGCUGUUUUUAAGUGGAGAUUUUGUCUGUGGAAACAGGGUCUGUUCCUGUCUCUGAUACCAACUUCAACCUAGAAUCACUCUUCUGUUUUUUCUCAAAAAGCUACAUGGCUGUCAUUUCAGAAACUGUGAUGGUCACUCAGAGGUACUAGGAGAUGGCAAGCUGGUAGGGUUGCCAGAUAGAAUAUAGGACUCCCAGCUAAAUUUUAAUUUCAGAUAAACAAUGGGUCAUUUUUAAGUAUAAGUUUGUCCCAAUAUCUCAGACAUACUUAUAUUAAAAAUGAUCCAUUGUUUAUCUGAAGUUCAAUUUUAACUGGACGUCCUGUAAUUUUAAUUUGCUAAAUCUGGCAAUCCUAUAAGCUGGCUUUGUAGGCAAGAAGCAGUUGGUGGCCUGGUUCAAGCUUUAAGGAGAGUGAUUCUACUAAUAACACCAUGCGAGGCAGACAAAUGCAGAAGCCAAAGCUGGACUUUGCUGCUUGGGUUCAUUUUGUGGUUCCACUGCUUACCAGCUUACUUCACCUCCCUGAGGCUCAGUUCCCUCCUCCGCAAAACAGCAGAUAACAGUAUCUAUUUCCUUAGGAUUAUUGUGAGAAGUAAAUAAAAUAAUCCAGCAUAUCUUUCCCAUGAUAAAUGCUCGAUAAACUUUGUUUUUACGUUAUUUCCACAUAGUGCGUCCUCUUCCCAGAGAACACAGUCACAAUAAUCCUUUGAAUUAUCCAUAAUAUAUCUAUAUCUAUGUCUGUAUCUGUGUCUACAUCUGUAUCUACAUCUGUAGCUAUAUAUGGAGUUUCUUACCGGCCAGGACACUUGUAACUAGUAACUGCA
This 7549-nucleotide long non-coding RNA is filed under the name Equus caballus (horse). RNAcentral's name for it is "lncRNA (ENSECAG00000052471.1)". The record is from RNAcentral. Lineage: Eukaryota; Metazoa; Chordata; Mammalia; Perissodactyla; Equidae.